CCUACGGGUGGCAGCAGUGGGGAAUAUUGGGCAAUGGGCGCAAGCCUGACCCAGCAACGCCGCGUGAAGGAAGAAGGCUUUCGGGUUGUAAACAUCUUUUCUGGGGGACGAACAAAUGACGGUACGCCAGGAAUAAGCCACGGCUAACUACGUGCCAGCAGCCGCGGUAAUACGUCGGUGGCAAGCGUUAUCCGGAUGUAUUGGGUGUAAAGGGCGUGUAGGCGGGAAUGCAAGUCAGAUGUGAAAACUAUGGGCUCAACCCAUAGCCUGCCUUUGAAACUGUAUGUCUUGAGUGCUGGAGAGGCAAUCGGAAUUCCGUGUGUAGCGGUGAAAUGCGUAGAUAUACGGAGGAACACCAGUGGCGAAGGCGGAUUGCUGGACAGUAACUGACGCUGAGGCGCGAAAGCGUGGGGAGCAAACAGGAUUAGAUACCCGGGUAGUC
RNAcentral lists this ribosomal RNA (442 nucleotides) under uncultured bacterium. RNAcentral's name for it is "partial 16S ribosomal RNA". It matches the Rfam family "Bacterial small subunit ribosomal RNA", at positions 338 to 795 of the family's 1533-position model. The record is from RNAcentral.